Molecule: ribosomal RNA, 1172 nt
Filed under: Allogromiina sp. A313
Lineage: Eukaryota; Foraminifera; Allogromiidae
Description: partial 18S ribosomal RNA
Rfam family: Eukaryotic small subunit ribosomal RNA
Source: RNAcentral
AAGGGCACCACAAGAACGCGUGGAGCAUGUGGCUUAAUUUGACUCAACGCGGGAAAUCUUACCGGGUCCGGACACACUGAGGAUUGACAGGCAAUAUUACUUAAAUUUUUGAAACUUUUUCGGAAGUGGAAAUUAUUUUUGUAUGUAAAUAUGCUAGUCCUUUCAUGAUUAUGUGAUAGGUGGUGCAUGGCCGUUCUUAGUUCGUGGAGUGAUCUGUCUGCUUAAUUGCGUUUCACUUAGAGCUUAUAAUAACGUAUGCUUGCUCGCAUAUUUGACCCCUUAAUUUCUUUUUUAUUUAACUUUUUACUUUUUUUGCUUCGGCUUAAAAACUUUAAAGGGUAAUUUAAUUGAGAUUUUGUGCGUUUGUCAUUUAUGUAUCCAGCAGCAUACAAUUAAGCUCUGAAAGCAACGAACGAGACCGCAUCCUCUUGUUGCCUCUAAUGUUUAUUAAUUUUUUGUAUUUAUACUUAAAAUUAAUAAUAAACAGAGGCUUUAAAACUAGAGGGACCGCUGUAACUUUUUUAAACCAGAGGAAGGUUGCGGCAAUAACAGGUCUGUGAUGCCCUUAGAUGUUCCGGGCUGCACACGUGCUACAAUGAUUGUUGCAGUGAGCAUCUCAUUUAAACACCAUUGUUAACUAAAUUUAAUUUUUUUUUUUUCUUUUUUUAUUUUGAAAUUACUUUGAGACUUCGGUUGAAAAGUGAUUUUAAAAAUAUUUUAAGUUUGAAAAAAAAUAUUUUAUUUAGCCAAAUAAUGGUUAAGCCUGCUUCGAAAGUAAGUAGGUAAUCAAUCCAAAGUAACGAUUUCCCAGCAUUAGCACACCUAUAUGCAGCGUUUAUACCCAGACGUAAGCUUGCCUUAUGUUCUUGUGCGUAUAAAUGUUUUAACUGCAUGUGCUUGUGUCAAUUCAUGGUGGGGACAGACCAUUGUUAAUUGUUGGUCUCGGUCUUAACUAGGAAUGCCUUGUACGGGUCUUUGGUUCAACAAACCACCCGGAAUACGUCCCUGCCCUUUGUACACACCGCCCGUCGCUCUUACCGAUGGACUUCUCUGUGAGUUUGAUGGACUGGAAAUUUAAUUUUCUUCGGAAAGUUAAUAUUCUAUGGAAAAUUAAACAAACAGUGUGGUCUAAAGGAAAGAGAAGUCGUAACAAGGCAUCNGUAGGUGAACCU